CUGGGUGUAGCAAACGGUUAAGCACUUGGCUGCUAACCAAAAGAUUGCUGGUUCAAAUCCACCCAGA
Molecule: transfer RNA, 67 nt
Filed under: Loxodonta africana (African savanna elephant)
Lineage: Eukaryota; Metazoa; Chordata; Mammalia; Proboscidea; Elephantidae
Rfam family: tRNA
About the family: Transfer RNA (tRNA) molecules are approximately 80 nucleotides in length. Their secondary structure includes four short double-helical elements and three loops (D, anti-codon, and T loops).
Source: Rfam by way of RNAcentral